UGGCCGAAUUAUCCGAGGGACGAAAGGGUGGACAAGGCUGUCAGAAGCGCCGAACAACCUGGACCAGACUGGCAGACACGUGACGUCAGAGUAAUUGGAUCAUGCGAUAAUUACUUGGUGGAAAUAUAUGUCUUGCGACACAUCAGAUCUCCAGUCAGAAGAGGAGGCAAUUCCUAAAAAGAGGAAGCCAAUGCCGGUCAGGACAGCGAACACGCCAGGGGGACACGCCCACCUGGCGAGGGGCGUGGUGUGGUUCAGACACCAUUGCCUGCUGUGCUGUUCCAGUUCAAAUCCUAGGCAUGCUGGAGACAAUUACAGAGGUGAGAGACCUUUUCCGUUUCCGUGUACCACAAUGGAGGAA
Pseudoliparis swirei is the source of this 361-nucleotide long non-coding RNA. RefSeq lists it as uncharacterized. The transcript has 4 exons. The record is from RefSeq and is a predicted model, not a curated record. NCBI's taxonomy places the organism in Eukaryota, Metazoa, Chordata, Actinopteri, Perciformes, Liparidae.